RNAcentral lists this ribosomal RNA (408 nucleotides) under uncultured bacterium. RNAcentral's name for it is "partial 16S ribosomal RNA". It matches the Rfam family "Bacterial small subunit ribosomal RNA", at positions 28 to 526 of the family's 1533-position model. The record is from RNAcentral.
GACGAACGCUGGCGGCGUGCUUAACACAUGCAAGUCGAACGAAGUGGCGAACGGGUGAGUAACGCGUAAUCAACCUGCCCUGCAGAGGGGGACAACAGUUGGACACGACUGCUACUACCGCAUACUUAAGGAGGGGGUGGCGGCUGAUUAGCUAGUCGGAGGGGUAACGGCCCACCAAGGCGAGGAUCAGUAGCCGGGCUGAGAGGAUGGACGGCCACAUUGGGACUGAGACACGGCCCAGACUCCUACGGGAGGCAGCAGUGGGGAAACUUCCGCAAUGGACGGAAGUCUGACGGAGCAACGCCGCGUGAGUGAUGACGGCCUUCGGGUUGUAAAGCUCUGUUAAUCGGGACGCGGUACCGGAAUAGAAAGCCACGGCUAACUACGUGCCAGCAGCCGCGGUAAUAC